AGCAGAGUAAAAAUCAAAGCGUCAAGUGCUGUAAAGACGGGGAGUUGCUUUACGGACGAAGAAGUUUACCUUUGCGGUUUUGAUUUUGCAUCCCGCUGCU
This 100-nucleotide non-coding RNA is filed under the name Hathewaya proteolytica. Its description in RNAcentral is "Clostridium proteolyticum THF-I sequence". It matches the Rfam family "THF (Tetrahydrofolate) riboswitch aptamer". From Rfam's summary of the family: THF riboswitch presents a pseudoknot that joins P1-P2 and the loop of P3 and two THF binding. RNAcentral also lists the same sequence under 1 other name. The record is from RNAcentral. Lineage: Bacteria; Bacillati; Bacillota; Clostridia; Eubacteriales; Clostridiaceae.